Molecule: ribosomal RNA, 515 nt
Filed under: Atrina fragilis
Lineage: Eukaryota; Metazoa; Mollusca; Bivalvia; Pterioida; Pinnidae
Description: partial 16S ribosomal RNA
Rfam family: Bacterial large subunit ribosomal RNA
Source: RNAcentral
UCGCCAGUAGAAUUUAGAAUUAUUGGUAGUACCUGCUCAAUGCCUUUUUUGGGUAAAUAGCCGCUGUAUUUUGACGGUGCUAAGGUAGCGAAAUUCCUAGCCUUUUAAUUGUAGGCCUGCAUGAAUGGUUUGACGAGCGCCCAACUGUCUCUUAUUUCACAAUUAGUAAAAUUAACUUUUGUGUGCAAAGUCACAAAUUUCUCAGUUAGACGAAAAGACCCUGUGCAACUUUACUGGAAAGGAGGGAGGCGUCCUCUGAUGCGGUUUUGCUGGGGCAGCACGGGAAAAACCAAAAUUUCCCCAUUAUAAAGUAUACUGAUAAGUUUAGAUCCAAUUUUUAGGUUGAUCAGUAGAAAAGUUACGCCAGGGAUAACAGCGUUAUCCUUCUGUGGAGGUCUUAUCUGCAGGGGGGAUUGCGACCUCGAUGUUGAAUUAGGGAUAUAGCAGAAAGGCGCAGCAGCUUUUUUUGUAGGUCUGUUCGACCUUUAAAACCCUACAUGAUCUGAGUUCAAACC